This is an RNA transcript of Prunus persica (peach), 1467 nucleotides long. RefSeq lists it as uncharacterized. The record is from RefSeq and is a predicted model, not a curated record. NCBI's taxonomy places the organism in Eukaryota, Viridiplantae, Streptophyta, Magnoliopsida, Rosales, Rosaceae. The transcript has 8 exons.
CGGAAAUGGGCAGAGAAAUGUAGCUUGGUAUUUUGGGCAAAUCCAAAAAUACGAAAACAGACCCAAUUAGAAAAUUAACGAAAUUCUCUCUCUUCCCCGAUUAUCUAAACGCGCUUCCAAUUUUCUUGUCCAAUUCGGAGGUCGUUUUCUGUGUGAUCAGCGCAUACAAUCGACAAUGAGUGACCACCUGGUGUUGUACGUUGACCGUCUCCUCAGGCCCAUGGCCGCACAGCAGCCGUCGGAGCCUCCUGAGGUCAGUUCUGUGCCGGAGCCGGAGCCGGAGCCGGCUGGACCCGACCCGGUCCCGGACACUGCCGACCCGUCUUCUAGUUCGUCAGCCGAGGGCGCGGAGGAGGAGGAGCCACUGAUUCAGACGGCGGAGUGUCGCAUUUGCCAGGAUGAGGAUAGCAUUAGCAAUUUGGAAUCUCCUUGUGCCUGUUGUGGCAGCCUCAAGUAUGCUCAUAGAAAGUGCGUUCAGCAUUGGUGCAAUGAGAAAGGAGAUAUAACUUGUGAAAUUUGUCAUCAGACUUACCAACCUGGCUAUACUGCACCUCCUCGUCCACCAUCUGAUGAAACUACUAUUGAAAUUGGUGGAGGCUGGACACUUUCUGGCACUCCUUUGAGUUUGGACGAUCCACGUAUCCUGUCAAUUACAGAGGCAGAGCGUCAGUAUCUGGAUACUGAAUAUGAUGAAUAUUCUGCUUCAAGCAGUAGUGGAGCUCCAUUCUUCCGUUCAGCAGCCUUAAUUUUAAUGGCCCUUCUGAUCUUGCGGCAUGCACUGAGAGUCACAGAUUCCGACAAUGGGGAUGACACGUCUGCUAUUUUCUCUCUUUUCUUGCUUCGAGCGGCUGGAUUUCUUUUGCCUGCUAUAUUAUGGCUUGGGCCAUCAGUAUCUUGCAGCGUCGACAGCAAAGACAGGAGGCUGCAGCAUUGGCAGCAACACAAGUUGCUUUUGUUCUUCAAUCUGGACAACAUAUGGGUCUACAAUUUGCAGUAGGAUCAGGACCUAAUGGGAGUCCACAACCAGAAACUGCCUAACAUGAAGCCAACAAAACGCCAGAGAGUUUUACGUGAUAUGGUGAAGCCAUUCAGCGGAAAGUGGUGAAAAAUAAAUGAAAACGUUUCUUUUGUCCGAAAAUAUGAAGGAACAAAAAAUUGCAAAACAUAAGAGAACAGAAAAGGCUACAGCAGUGUGGAAUUGUGUCUAAUGGCUUGUUGAAAAGGCCAUGGCAGUCUUGGUUACCUCCAUCUUUGGUUGUCUUGUAUUUCAUGUAUGUUUGUAAAUUAAUUCCAUUCAACCAGAGAAAAAAGGAAAUAUUGAUUUUUGGUUCUCCAUCUUCUUGGGUAGUUCAAAGCAGCUGGUUGUUAUCUGGAAGGGGCAUGUCUGUAUUAUUCAACUUGAAUAUCUCCUUAGCUGAGUUCUUUUUCUUUUGGAUUUAUCACAAAACGUCCUUGAGGUUCAUGAAA